UGGGGAAUAUUGGACAAGGGGCGCAAGCCUGAUACAACCAUGCCGCGUGGGUGAUGAAGGCCCUAGGGUUGUAAAGCUCUUUUACCGGUGAAGAUAAUGACGGUAACCGGAGAAGAAGCCCCGGCUAACUUCGUGCCAGCAGCCGCGGUAAUACGAAGGGGGCUAGCGUUGUUCGGAUUUACUGGGCGUAAAACGCACGUAGGCGGACUUUUAAGUCAGGGGUGAAAUCCCGGGGCUCAACCCCGGAACUGCCUUUGAUCCUGGAAGUCGUGAGUAUGGUAGAGGUGAGGGGAAGUCCGAGGGUAGAGGUGAAAUUCGUAGAUAUUCGGAGGAAAACCAGUGGCGAAGGCGGCUCACUGGACCAUUACUGACGCUGAGGUGCGAAAGCGUGGGGAGCAAACAGG
RNAcentral lists this ribosomal RNA (404 nucleotides) under Actinomycetes bacterium. Its description in RNAcentral is "Actinobacteria bacterium partial 16S ribosomal RNA". It matches the Rfam family "Bacterial small subunit ribosomal RNA", at positions 355 to 776 of the family's 1533-position model. The record is from RNAcentral. Lineage: Bacteria; Bacillati; Actinomycetota; Actinomycetes.